GAUGAACGCUGGCGGCGUGCCUAAUACAUGCAAGUCGAGCGAACGGACGAGAAGCUUGCUUCUCUGAUGUUAGCGGCGGACGGGUGAGUAACACGUGGAUAACCUACCUAUAAGACUGGGAUAACUUCGGGAAACCGGAGCUAAUACCGGAUAAUAUUUUGAACCGCAUGGUUCAAAAGUGAAAGACGGUCUUGCUGUCACUUAUAGAUGGAUCCGCGCUGCAUUAGCUAGUUGGUAAGGUAACGGCUUACCAAGGCAACGAUGCAUAGCCGACCUGAGAGGGUGAUCGGCCACACUGGAACUGAGACACGGUCCAGACUCCUACGGGAGGCAGCAGUAGGGAAUCUUCCGCAAUGGGCGAAAGCCUGACGGAGCAACGCCGCGUGAGUGAUGAAGGUCUUCGGAUCGUAAAACUCUGUUAUUAGGGAAGAACAUAUGUGUAAGUAACUGUGCACAUCUUGACGGUACCUAAUCAGAAAGCCACGGCUAACUACGUGCCAGCAGCCGCGGUAAUACGUAGGUGGCAAGCGUUAUCCGGAAUUAUUGGGCGUAAAGCGCGCGUAGGCGGUUUUUUAAGUCUGAUGUGAAAGCCCACGGCUCAACCGUGGAGGGUCAUUGGAAACUGGAAGACUUGAGUGCAGAAGAGGAAAGUGGAAUUCCAUGUGUAGCGGUGAAAUGCGCAGAGAUAUGGAGGAACACCAGUGGCGAAGGCGACUUUCUGGUCUGUAACUGACGCUGAUGUGCGAAAGCGUGGGGAUCAAACAGGAUUAGAUACCCUGGUAGUCCACGCCGUAAACGAUGAGUGCUAAGUGUUAGGGGGUUUCCGCCCCUUAGUGCUGCAGCUAACGCAUUAAGCACUCCGCCUGGGGAGUACGACCGCAAGGUUGAAACUCAAAGGAAUUGACGGGGACCCGCACAAGCGGUGGAGCAUGUGGUUUAAUUCGAAGCAACGCGAAGAACCUUACCAAAUCUUGACAUCCUUUGACAACUCUAGAGAUAGAGCCUUCCCCUUCGGGGGACAAAGUGACAGGUGGUGCAUGGUUGUCGUCAGCUCGUGUCGUGAGAUGUUGGGUUAAGUCCCGCAACGAGCGCAACCCUUAAGCUUAGUUGCCAUCAUUAAGUUGGGCACUCUAAGUUGACUGCCGGUGACAAACCGGAGGAAGGUGGGGAUGACGUCAAAUCAUCAUGCCCCUUAUGAUUUGGGCUACACACGUGCUACAAUGGACAAUACAAAGGGCAGCGAAACCGCGAGGUCAAGCAAAUCCCAUAAAGUUGUUCUCAGUUCGGAUUGUAGUCUGCAACUCGACUACAUGAAGCUGGAAUCGCUAGUAAUCGUAGAUCAGCAUGCUACGGUGAAUACGUUCCCGGGUCU
Molecule: ribosomal RNA, 1372 nt
Filed under: uncultured bacterium
Lineage: Bacteria
Description: bacterial SSU rRNA
Rfam family: Bacterial small subunit ribosomal RNA
Source: RNAcentral